Molecule: ribosomal RNA, 164 nt
Filed under: Xanthium strumarium
Lineage: Eukaryota; Viridiplantae; Streptophyta; Magnoliopsida; Asterales; Asteraceae
Description: 5.8S ribosomal RNA
Rfam family: 5.8S ribosomal RNA
About the family: 5.8S ribosomal RNA (5.8S rRNA) is a component of the large subunit of the eukaryotic ribosome. It is transcribed by RNA polymerase I as part of the 45S precursor that also contains 18S and 28S rRNA.
Source: RNAcentral
AUAACGACUCUCGGCAACGGAUAUCUCGGCUCACGCAUCGAUGAAGAACGUAGCAAAAUGCGAUACUUGGUGUGAAUUGCAGAAUCCCGUGAACCAUCGAGUUUUUGAACGCAAGUUGCGCCCGAAGCCUUCCGGUUGAGGGCACGUCUGCCUGGGCGUCACGC